CUUAUUUGGGUCAUGAUGGUGCUCUGGCUUCAUUCGCAUUUGAGGAGACUGGGGCAACUCAGUCUGGAUUUCUAUCAACAUCUCCCCCCUAGAGAUAGUUACGGGCAUGUAAUUAUUAUAAUGCCCAGGGGGUGAGGGUCACUGAUCUCUUCUCUGAGGACUUUGAGAUCGAUGGUUUCGAUCUCCGUUCUUCCACCUCUAGGAUGG
This 207-nucleotide long non-coding RNA is filed under the name Elaeis guineensis (African oil palm). RNAcentral's name for it is "long non-coding RNA (EGUI_LNC058334)". The record is from RNAcentral. Lineage: Eukaryota; Viridiplantae; Streptophyta; Magnoliopsida; Arecales; Arecaceae.